CUUGACGCAGGUGGCAUCUUUUCUGUCGAAACUCUGUAAUAUCGAAGCAGGCAGCAGGAUGUGAUUUAUUAACCUACAGGUGUGCGUCUGUCAAAGUUUGUGCUUCAAACGCAUCCUUGUCCAGCUACGGCAGACAACUGUGCAUAAAAGCUGCUUCAUAGGUCGUUACCCACCGCCUCCAACACACGUUGAGUCACAGACACAACGUCAUAAACUUGCCCCUUUCCUCCACAGGUCACCCCACUUGGCACUGCUUUCACGGCGGCCAUCAAUUAGGUCAUGCAACGAUCGACAAACCAGGAAGUCACACAUCUGCGUAACUCUGUGGCGUUUCACAGAAGAGAGCUGAACGCCAUCCUCCGCGCUGCGAUGGAACACAGGACGGGCGAGAGGAGGAAU
This 399-nucleotide long non-coding RNA is filed under the name Takifugu rubripes (torafugu). RNAcentral describes it as "lncRNA (ENSTRUG00000029812.1)". The record is from RNAcentral. Lineage: Eukaryota; Metazoa; Chordata; Actinopteri; Tetraodontiformes; Tetraodontidae.